Molecule: long non-coding RNA, 1700 nt
Organism: Papaver somniferum (opium poppy)
Lineage: Eukaryota; Viridiplantae; Streptophyta; Magnoliopsida; Ranunculales; Papaveraceae
Exons: 2
Source: RefSeq, a predicted model, not a curated record
UCCUUCCUUGUUCUUGAUAUGUGCUGUGUUCUUCUACAUCUCUAGCUCCAGUUAAUCAAUGUCACCCUUUUCCUCGGAUAAACAACAGCAGCUCACAACUUCUUCUCGGCUUCUAAAUCUUGUUUCUCGAAUUCAACAUAACCCAAAAUCACCUGCAAUUGUUUCUUCCUGUAAACCCUAAAAUCAUCACAGACUCAAAAUCAUCACAUAUUCAAAAUCAUCUAACAAUCUCGAUUAAUCUCAGCUUCUUCUCGAACAAUUGUGGAAAUAGACUAUCCUUCUUCCCUGUAAUUCCAUGGAAUACGCUCAAAUAUCCAUUGCAAAUACGAAUUCUACCAUCAUCGAAACCCUAAUCAGUUUGAAUCUUGAGCAUAAAUCCACAAACUCGAGUUAUAAUCAAAGGUAUGGAGUUUGGGUCUGACUUAUUUAAUUAUUUGGAUAUGAGUUUUGUGCCAGUCUGGACAGAGUUAUCUUUGAAAGCAAAACACUGAAGAAACAAGCAUUGCUGCCAUUGAAUUUAUGGCUGAAUGCUGGAAAUGAAAGAGGUUUGUGAAGAGUCUGUGAGGAAUUAUGAGUUGGGUUCUCACUGGAUUCGAGUAUACAGUGAGUUAUGAGAAGAUUUAAUGAAGAUUUGAUUAAGAGAAACCAUCCAGAGAAGUAAAGCUACUGCCAUAAGUUUUGGCAGUUAACUAUGAAGAUUUAUGAAUGCUUCGAAUAUAUGGGUUUGAGCUAUACUUGUAUUGUGCAGGGAAAGAGAUAGAAAUGAUCUUAGAAAUCAAGAUGGAGUUCAACUGUGAAGUGCCAGUAAACUGCACACAGGUUGUUUGUAGAAAGGCUUAAACCAAUUAUCGGGAGAAGUUGAACUGCGGGAAGAGACGUUAUGAAGCUACAGAGGUAUCGGCAGUAUUGGUGUUCUUAUUUGUUGUUGGUGGUGCAUUGGCUAGGUUUGAAGUGUUGGGCUACAAGAGCUGAGAAUAGUGGUGAUGUUCUGAAUGGACAGAAACGGGAUAUUUUCCAGCAAUUUGGUUUUGGUGAGUUAUGUUGCUCAGAUGUGUGGGUUAUUGUUAUAGAGAAGAGCCGGUGCUAGCCAUGGUCAUGAUGGAAGUUGGUGUAUGAAUGGAAGUUGCUGAGAUGAUCUGUGUAACAAUAACCCACCAUGGCAUAAUAUUAGGUGUUAGAUGAUUUUAACUCUGAAUUGAUGACCUAGGGUUAUUUGGGUCCUCUAUAAUUUAUCGAGGGUUGGAUAGUUUUGGUUACUGGAAUUCGUGAAGAAGAUCAAGAAGAUGAUCUACAUACUGUAUUUGAGUUUGGGGAAGUGUGAAGAAUUUGCAUCUGAAUCUUGAUCGCAGGACUGGAUUUGUAAAGGGAUAUGCAUUGAUGGAAUUUGAGAAGAUGUGGAACUUCUAACACAGAUCAUCUCAGUUGACUGGGCCUUCAGCAGCUUCCAUCGUGAAUUUGGUGACCAUGGGGUGUUUUGCGAUAGUGCUAUGGACACAAUAUUCCAGUAAAUGUAACCUUCAAAACUUUGGAAAUUUCAUAUUCAGUUGAAGUUUCAUCUUGUUUUUGCGCAUCCAAAUCUAAGAUAGACUAAGAGCUUCAUCAUACUUGCGAGAAUUAGACACUAAUGAUUGCAGUACUAUCAGAGAUUACUUCUGGGCUGUAGUCUAUCAAUUAAGAUUUUUUAUGAGUUCUACUUUUUA